Molecule: transfer RNA, 65 nt
Filed under: Folsomia candida
Lineage: Eukaryota; Metazoa; Arthropoda; Collembola; Entomobryomorpha; Isotomidae
Description: tRNA-Tyr
Source: RNAcentral
AAUAAAAUGGCUGAGUUUAGGUGUUAAACUGUAAAUUUAAUUACGAGUGGUGUACUCUUUUAUUA